This 88-nucleotide signal recognition particle RNA is filed under the name Enterobacter hormaechei. Its description in RNAcentral is "partial signal recognition particle sRNA small type". It matches the Rfam family "Bacterial small signal recognition particle RNA". From Rfam's summary of the family: The signal recognition particle (SRP) is a universally conserved ribonucleoprotein involved in the co-translational targeting of proteins to membranes. Lineage: Bacteria; Pseudomonadati; Pseudomonadota; Gammaproteobacteria; Enterobacterales; Enterobacteriaceae. The record is from RNAcentral.
UGUUGGUUCUCCCGCAACGCUACUCUGUUCACCAGGUCAGGUCCGGAAGGAAGCAGCCAAGGCAGACGACGUGGGUGCCGGGAUGUAG